GUUCCUUCGGGGACAUUUGAUAAAGUUGGAACGAUACAGAGAAGAUUAGCACGGCCCCUGCGCAAGAAUGACACGCAUAAAUCGUGAAAUGAUCUAAAAAAUU
Small nuclear RNA from Lycium barbarum (goji berry), 103 nucleotides. NCBI's taxonomy places the organism in Eukaryota, Viridiplantae, Streptophyta, Magnoliopsida, Solanales, Solanaceae. The record is from RefSeq and is a predicted model, not a curated record.